This 25-nucleotide small nuclear RNA is filed under the name Arabidopsis thaliana (thale cress). RNAcentral's name for it is "snRNA_02825". Lineage: Eukaryota; Viridiplantae; Streptophyta; Magnoliopsida; Brassicales; Brassicaceae. The record is from RNAcentral.
AGUCAGAUUAUAAAAUGCCAAAUAA